UUCCGGUUGAUCCUGCCGGACCCCACUGCUAUCGGGAUAGGACUAAGACAUGCUAGUCGUGUGCCUCAGCCAAAACGAGGCACGGCGCACAGCUCAGUAACACGUGGCUAACCUGCCCUUAGGACGAGAAUAACCCCGGGAAACUGGGGCUAAUGCUCGAUAGGUGAAGAACUCUGGAAUGAGUCUUCACUUAAAAGAGUCUGCGUUAUGCUCGUAGAUUUCGCUUAAGGAUGGGGCCGCGACCGAUCAGGUUGUUGGUGAGGUAAUGGCUCACCAAGCCUUUUACCGGUGCGGGCCGUGAGAGCGGGAGCCCGGAGAUGGGCACUGAGACAAGGGCCCAGGCCCUACGGGGCGCAGCAGUCGCGAAAACUUUGCAAUACACGAAAGUGUGACAGGGCUAUCCCGAGUGCCAUCCGCUGAGGAAGGCUUUUACCCAGUCUAGAACGCUGGGGGAAUAAGGAGAGGGCAAGUCUGGUGUCAGCCGCCGCGGUAAUACCAGCUCUCCGAGUGGUGUGGAUGUUUAUUGGGCCUAAAGCAUCCGUAGCUGGCUAAGUUAGUCCCCUGUUAAAUCCAACGAAUUAAUCGUUGGAUCGCGGGGGAUACUGCUUGGCUAGGGGACGAGAGAGGCAGACGGUAUUUCCGGGGUAGGGGUGAAAUCCCAUAAUCCCGGGAAGACCACCAGUGGCGAAGGCUGUCUGCUAGAACGCGCCCGACGGUGAGGGAUGAAAGCUGGGGGAGCGAACCGGAUUAGAUACCCGGGUAGUCCCAGCUGUAAACGAUGCAGGCUAGGUGUUUGGACGGCCACGUGCCGUUCUAGUGCCGCAGGGAAGCUGUUAAGCCUGCCGCCUGGGGAGUACGAUCGCAAGAUUGAAACUUAAAGGAAUUGGCGGGGGAGCACCACAAGGGGUGAAGCUUGCGGUUUAAUUGGAGUCAACGCCGGAAAGGGCGAAUUUUGC
RNAcentral lists this ribosomal RNA (956 nucleotides) under archaeon enrichment culture clone C4-14C-A. Its description in RNAcentral is "bacterial SSU rRNA". It matches the Rfam family "Archaeal small subunit ribosomal RNA", at positions 1 to 937 of the family's 1478-position model. The record is from RNAcentral.